This 468-nucleotide ribosomal RNA is filed under the name uncultured bacterium. RNAcentral describes it as "partial 16S ribosomal RNA". It matches the Rfam family "Bacterial small subunit ribosomal RNA", at positions 28 to 507 of the family's 1533-position model. The record is from RNAcentral.
GACGAACGCUGGCGGCGGGCUUAACACAUGCAAGUCGAACGGAAAGGCCCUGCUUUUGUGGGGUGCUCGAGUGGCGAACGGGUGAGUAACACGUGAGUAACCUGCCCUUGACUUUGGGAUAACUUCAGGAAACUGGGGCUAAUACCGUAUAGGAGCUCCUGCUGCAGGGUGGGGGUUGGAAAGUUUCGGCGGUUGGGGAUGGACUCGCGGCUGAUCAGCUUGUUGGUGGGGUAGUGGCUUACCAAGGCUUUGACGGGUAGCCGGCCUGAGAGGGUGACCGGCCACAUUGGGACUGAGAUACGGACCAGACUCCUACGGGAGGCAGCAGUGGGGAAUAUUGCACAAUGGGCGGAAGCCUGAUGCAGCAACGCCGCGUGCGGGAUGACGGCCUUCGGGUUGUAAACCGCUUUCGCCUGUGACGAAGCGUGAGUGACGGUAAUGGGUAAAGAAGCACCGGCUAACUACGUG